RNAcentral lists this ribosomal RNA (350 nucleotides) under uncultured Geobacter sp. RNAcentral's name for it is "bacterial SSU rRNA". It matches the Rfam family "Bacterial small subunit ribosomal RNA", at positions 1031 to 1382 of the family's 1533-position model. The record is from RNAcentral. Lineage: Bacteria; Pseudomonadati; Thermodesulfobacteriota; Desulfuromonadia; Geobacterales; Geobacteraceae.
AAGACAGGUGCUGCAGUGGCUGUCGUCAGCUCGUGUCGUGAGAUGUUGGUUAAGUCCCGCAACGAGCGCAACCCCUAUCCUCAGUUGCCAUCAUUAAGUUGGGCACUCUGUGGAGACUGCCGGUGUCAAACCGGAGGAAGGUGGGGAUGACGUCAAGUCCUCAUGGCCCUUAUGACCAGGGCUACACACGUGCUACAAUGGCCGGUACAAAGAGUUGCGAUACCGCGAGGUGGAGCUAAUCUCAUAAAGCCGGUCUCAGUUCGGAUUGGAGUCUGCAACUCGACUCCAUGAAGUUGGAAUCGCUAGUAAUCGCGGAUCAGCACGCCGCGGUGAAUACGUUCCCGGGCCUU